UACGUAGGGGGCAAGCGUUGUCCGGAUUUAUUGGGCGUAAAGAGCGUGUAGGCGGCUUGGUAGGUCCGCUGUGAAAACUCGAGGCUCAACCUCGAGAUGUCGACGGAAACCACUUGGCUAGAGUCCGGAAGAGGAGAGUGGAAUUCCUGGUGUAGCGGUGAAAUGCGCAGAUAUCAGGAAGAACACCUAUGGCGAAGGCAGCUCUCUGGGACGGUACUGACGCUGAGACGCGAAAGCGUGGGGAGCGAACAGG
Molecule: ribosomal RNA, 253 nt
Filed under: uncultured bacterium
Lineage: Bacteria
Description: partial 16S ribosomal RNA
Rfam family: Bacterial small subunit ribosomal RNA
Source: RNAcentral